This 66-nucleotide transfer RNA is filed under the name Goggia lineata. RNAcentral describes it as "tRNA-Trp". The record is from RNAcentral. Lineage: Eukaryota; Metazoa; Chordata; Lepidosauria; Squamata; Gekkonidae.
AAGUUUAGGUUAACUCAAACCAAGAGCCUUCAAAGCCCUAAAUAGGGGCCUAACCCCUAACUCCUG